GAGAAAAUAAGAUAUUACAAUGAAAGAUCUUCAACAUACUUUGUUUUUUUUGCAGUAGCUAUUUCUGUGGUGGACGAGAUAAAAGUAAAUAUUUUGAAAGCAAAAAAAAAUUUUAAAUUCGGCUCAAUUCGGCAGAAUUGUAGAAAUAAAAAAAAAACCAAAAAGCCGAUUAAACCGAUUUAACCGAACUCAAAAACCUACAUAAAAAGCGUUUAGUUUCAUUGUUCACCUAUUAUAGAACAAAGACAAGAAAGAGAGGUUAACAAUACCUUACAACAGAAGAAUUUCAAACAGUUUGGGCAUUCCAACGCAUAAAUAUUAUACAAUCUUGUAUGCUCAACAUAUUCAUCACAGACAAAAGCCAUUUGGGAAUCAACGGCAGCAACUGAGUAGAAUUGAAGUAAGAAAAGGAAAGGAAAUGAAAGUAAUAGGUCAAUAGUAUUGGUUUUUUUUUCUACUCUUUGUAAAAUAGAUCACCCAUCGAAAAAAUUAAUCUUUUUACAUAACACUAAACUAUUUAUUUAAGUCUGUUUAAAAUUACUUAU
This 545-nucleotide small RNA is filed under the name Arabidopsis thaliana (thale cress). Its description in RNAcentral is "ATSL220650". The record is from RNAcentral. Lineage: Eukaryota; Viridiplantae; Streptophyta; Magnoliopsida; Brassicales; Brassicaceae.